This 271-nucleotide ribosomal RNA is filed under the name uncultured bacterium. RNAcentral describes it as "partial 16S ribosomal RNA". It matches the Rfam family "Bacterial small subunit ribosomal RNA", at positions 82 to 354 of the family's 1533-position model. The record is from RNAcentral.
UCUACGUCGGCGACCGGCGCACGGGUGCGUAACGCGUAUGCAACCUGCCCAUUACAGGGGGAUAACACUGAGAAAUCGGUACUAAUACCCCAUAACAUCCAGGGAGGCAUCUUCUUGGGUUGAAAACUCCGGUGGUAAUGGAUGGGCAUGCGUUGUAUUAGUUAGUUGGUGGGGUAACGGCUCACCAAGACAACGAUACAUAGGGGGACUGAGAGGUUAACCCCCCACAUUGGUACUGAGACACGGACCAAACUCCUACGGAAGGCAGCAG